RNAcentral lists this long non-coding RNA (333 nucleotides) under Aotus nancymaae (Ma's night monkey). RNAcentral's name for it is "lncRNA (ENSANAG00000039034.1)". Lineage: Eukaryota; Metazoa; Chordata; Mammalia; Primates; Aotidae. The record is from RNAcentral.
GAACACUUGGUGCAGGAAUCUUCUAAUUUUUUUUUGUUUUUGCAGUCUCUCCACCUACAAUAUACCAACUGGAAUUUCCCUUAUUUGAAAGAAAAUCUUCAGGGUAAAGAAGACAUUUACAAUGACACAAAAAGAUUCCAAAGGUAUCAUGGUCCUAAAGGGCUUUCCCCAAGGGACAGCACAGUGUGUUCCAGGCCCUGAUGAGAGGUAACAUUGUGAAACUCCUGGCUACUUGGAAGGCUGAUGUGGGAGGAUUCCUUGAGCCCAGGAGGUCGAGGCUGCAGUGGGCCAUGAUGAUGCCACCCCACUCCAGCCUGGGACACAGAACAAGAC